GGGAACGCGGUGCAAAUCCGCGACGGUCCCGCCACUGUGAGCGACCCCGCACUCGGUCAUCGAGGGGCGGGGCCGUGAGUCAGAUCGCC
Molecule: non-coding RNA, 89 nt
Filed under: Corynebacterium vitaeruminis
Lineage: Bacteria; Bacillati; Actinomycetota; Actinomycetes; Mycobacteriales; Corynebacteriaceae
Source: RNAcentral